This 166-nucleotide ribosomal RNA is filed under the name Rhizophagus sp. (in: glomeromycetes). RNAcentral describes it as "Rhizophagus sp. (in: Fungi) partial small subunit ribosomal RNA". The record is from RNAcentral. Lineage: Eukaryota; Fungi; Glomeromycota; Glomeromycetes; Glomerales; Glomeraceae.
UAUAUUAAGUUGUUGCAGUUAAAAGCUCGUAGUUGAAUUUCGGGGUUAGUAAGUUGGUCAUGCCUCUGGUAUGNACUGGCUUUACUGAUUCCUCCUUCUUGAUGAACUGUAAUGUCAUUAAUUUGGUGUUGCAGGGAAUCAGGACUGUUACUUUGAAAAAAUUAGA